UCGGAUGUAGUGCAUGGUGCACGCCUGCUCGCAGUAGAAGAUUUCGCUGGUCAUGUGGGAAGCCUGGGAUCGAUUCCCGGCGUCCGAA
Molecule: non-coding RNA, 88 nt
Organism: Mycena leptocephala
Lineage: Eukaryota; Fungi; Basidiomycota; Agaricomycetes; Agaricales; Mycenaceae
Source: the annotation of a GenBank genome assembly